Magnolia sinica is the source of this 1396-nucleotide long non-coding RNA. RefSeq lists it as uncharacterized. The transcript has 2 exons. Lineage: Eukaryota; Viridiplantae; Streptophyta; Magnoliopsida; Magnoliales; Magnoliaceae. The record is from RefSeq and is a predicted model, not a curated record.
UAAUUUUUUUUUAUUUUUCAUUUUUUUAUAUUUUAUUUUAUUAUUUGAAAUAGAAAUGUGAAAUAUUUUUUGUGGGUGGUUGCUUCUUACUGACCGAGUUUUCCAUGAUGUGUGGGAAACCUCUUGUUGGGAAGCAUAGAUUGAAUUAAAAAAGCAGCCAGUAUUAAACAGCAUGAUGUUAUCAUUUACAUGUUAAUUGCAUCAUGUUACCUGUCUCCUGGCACAUCCAUGCCUUUAUUUUAAGAAAUUACUCUUUUUUUUUCUCCCAUCUCAUAGUUUCCAAUUCAUCCUCUCUUUUUUUUUUUCUUUUUUUUUGCCUUUUUUCAAAAAUUGUCUUUAUACACUAUUUUUUGGGUAUUAUGGUGAGGAGGGUAAGAUUCUCUUUUACUACUUGAGAAAAAAAGUUUGAUACUCUGGCAGAGAAUGAUCAAUGAUACACAUGCAUUUACUUUGAAAUUCGAUACAUGGAAUACAAGGCAGUCAGAUUCAACUGCCGAAAUUAGAGGUACUAACUUAGAUAUGGUAUGAACCAAAUAUCAAGGCUAUUUGAUUAUCAGACUAUCAAAUUGGUGGAUAUGACAUUUUUACUGGACGAUUAAUAAUGAAUUCAAGCGUCUUUGGUUUUGUUUGGAUGCUUGUAAAUGAGCCAAGUUGUAAAUGAUUUACAGCAUUUUUCUCCAUCUAAUUUACAGGUAAAAAAGUUUGGAUUUCAUUUGCAGGCUCUCUCCAUUUACAGCCUACAUGGCUAUAAAAAUGUUAAAAAUCAGCUCUCCAUUUUCCAAACAAACAAUCAUUUCCUACAAAUCAUUUAUUUACAUUUUAAAGCCAAACAUGAUAGUUGUAAAUGACUUACAGCUUAAUGCCAAAAAGGAUAGUUGUAAACGAUUUACAGCUUAAUGGCAAACAGGACAGGCUGUGUAAAUCAUUUACAACUAAAGCUAUUUGCAGGCAUCCAAACAACACCUUUGUUAAAUUAAGUAGUGCGAACAACUCAGUGACAAUGGGUCGACCAUGUAGUCGGUUUAAUUUGUAUUAACACAUGCCACAUUAUUAGCAUUAAGUACCUGUGUAUCAAGUAUCAUUUUCAGCCCGAGUACCAAAUAAGCGCCCUUUAUUUGUAUUUGGUCUACAUCUUGCAAGAUUGGGAUUCUACACUAGGAUACGUGUGCAGCGAUUAGAAAAUUGUUUUGAAUUGUUUGUACCUCUCUAGCCUUUUGUUUGUUUGCCUUGCUUGUUGAUGGGCUGCCAAGUUUGCAAACUUUAUCUUGUUGGUUGCAUGCAAAGUAUACCAACUGUCUGUAUGCAUAUUAUAUAUAACUGAAGCAUCAUUUGGAUAUUUUCAUGCCAAAAUUUUGAAUAAUCAAAGCACAUAGAAGGAUAUUUUAAAACUUUUAAA